AAAAGACUCUAACUUACAACUCCACCAUUUUAUAAACCAACUGCCCAUUCAAACAAACUAACAAGCAACCAAUACUGACAAGUUCAAUCACGUGUUUCAGUGAUAGGUCGAACUCGCGUGGAACUUACCAGCAUGGCUGGCGUAUUAAUCGUUUUGGGGUCAGGAUUCGUUCUUUCAAUGAUAACACUAAUGGCUGAGAUAUACUACGAUAGAUACAGUCGACUUCAAAAUAAACGCCUCUUUGAUUUGCAGAGWAAGUCGUUUAGAAAGAGGUCGAUAGAACCAAUGGAAAUCGGAAAAGAUAAUCAAAUGCCGAAUGUUGAAGGCAUCGACGCUGACUUGGGCAUUUCGAAAAUACAAACAACAACAGAUCAUGAACAUUCUUUAUAAAAGAAAAAUAAAGAAGUUCGUGUCAUGACGUAGAAAUAAGACGGAGAGGGACUCCUUUAUGUAUGUCUCGCGAAUCUAGUGAUGAUUGUAUCUGUUAGGUAAAAAAUCAGUAAUCUUGUAUAUUUUAGCGAGCUAUACAAAUUUUGGCUUUUCAACAUACGGCAAUUAUCAUGAGAAUACUACUGACCUUUUCACUGAUCUCGGAUGGAUAAGAAUACGAAAGAAACAUCAGAUAUAAGAAUGAUGAGUACAUGAAGACUUUAAGCAGGUUUAUUCGCCAUAGUGACCACUUGUCAGUAGACCUUCAAGCAUUGGAAUGCGCUGUGGAAGCGCCAGAACUUGAAAUCGAACCAAUGAUGGAAACGCUUACUGUGGCUGGACCAGGAAGGAUCAUUAGUCAAGCUGAGGUGGUCUGGCGUGAGAAAGUAGGAGGGUUGUUUACAGCUCACUGCGAGCCAUCAACAGAAGAGUCUACCUCACUUGCAGUUUUGUCUAGUGAACUUCUCAACUAACCACAGUCAGGAAGUUCUGGACCAAAACGAAACGAUGAUGUAUUCGCAUUUGACCAUGAAAGACCACCGGCUCAACGUCAUGAAUAAACUUGAUACCAAUAAUA
This is a long non-coding RNA of Exaiptasia diaphana, 1006 nucleotides long. RefSeq lists it as uncharacterized. NCBI's taxonomy places the organism in Eukaryota, Metazoa, Cnidaria, Anthozoa, Actiniaria, Aiptasiidae. The record is from RefSeq and is a predicted model, not a curated record. The transcript is spliced from 2 exons.